Cavia porcellus (domestic guinea pig) is the source of this 1445-nucleotide long non-coding RNA. RefSeq lists it as uncharacterized. The record is from RefSeq and is a predicted model, not a curated record. The transcript has 3 exons. NCBI's taxonomy places the organism in Eukaryota, Metazoa, Chordata, Mammalia, Rodentia, Caviidae.
UGUUACUCGAAGGGUUUAGGCGUAUUUCACCAAAGCGGAAGGUACACAGCAGCCAGGCUUCAGGGCAGGAGAAGGAAGAUAAAAGGUGUUUCCUGCCUUCAUCUUCACAAGAAAACCAAGGACUGGUCACCAGUGGCAUCUGCACAGCUAUCUCCAGCUUCGCUCCUCCUGGCACGGUUUGACUGGUGGCAAGCAGGCUCACUAUGGACGCCUCUGUGAUCCGGGAGUGAAUCAGAUGGAUGAGGUGAUCUGCGGUGUGCUGAGAGUAACUUGCAUAAGUAGCCUCCAAAGCCAAGGAGACUUUACUUGUGCUAAGAAGUUCCAAAGAUAAUCAGAUCAGACACUUGCAGGGAGCAAGCUUUACACUCCAUAAAGUUCCUCACCCCUGUGAUUCCCUAACCAGCUUGUUCCAGGUAGGCAGCUAUCCUUAUAUUCCACCCGGAGAGGAGGAAGCUAUUCUCAGCCACGUCUUCCUUAAAACUGUUUAUCUCAGACCUAAACUCUCUGUAUGGUUUGAAGAUAGCUCACACCCUCCAAAACUCUUGUUGAAAUGUAAUCCUAUUAAUGAGACAUUAAGAAGCAGGGCUAUGUGGGAUUUUAAAAGACACUUAGAGCUCUGCCCAUCACGACUGGAUUAAUGGGUUAUUGGAUUAUCUGGAGAGCAGGGAUGCUGCAAAAGCCAGUUUGGCCAGCCCCCCCCACCCAACUCUGAUCAUGUGAUGCCUGUACUAUACCUCAGGAUUCAGCCAGCAAGAAGGCUGUCACCCAGAUACAGCACCUAGGACCUUGGGUCACAGUCCUGAGUGCAACAAACCCUUUUGCUUUAUAAUUUAUCCAUAUAUGGCACUGUGUCAUUAGCAACAGAAUGUGGAUGAAGAUACUAUUAUAAGUCCAGUCUUACAUUGCUUGAGAUAAAGUAUCACACCACCACUACCUCCACUGAAUAUGUUUCUGAGCUUUGUGUACUUGAGUGAAGGCCUGGUUUGUACAAAUUCAGUUUACAAACCACAUCUGCAGAAACCUGACAUGUACUUCUUAUUCCUCUCUGUGUCCUUUAUGCACCGGAGUGGGCUAGCCUUUGCAGGAGUGAGUCAUCUUUUAGAAGGACAGACAGCUGUCAGUGGUUGUGGCAGUGAUCACAUUGCAUUGUUUCUGUACAUUGAAUCAUGGAAGGCAUAAUGUAAUCCAGGAAGUGGUGCUGACUUCGCUCCCUGGAGCUGACACAGCCUCACCAUUUUCUUGAGGGAUCUGGCAGCCUGAUCACUGUCACUUGCCAGUUUCUCAGGAGAAGUGAGAUGGGCUUCCAUCUUUUACUGUAGACUUGCUUUCUACUUUGUUCCAAGCUUAAAGUACUGUCAAAUCAAGAUUGCUAGAGUAAUUUCCUUUCUUUGUGCUUCUUGUAAUUUUUGUCUUUGGGAAAUGAAUAAUAUGAAAAUAUAGUAUUC